Molecule: ribosomal RNA, 1347 nt
Filed under: metagenome
Description: bacterial LSU rRNA
Rfam family: Bacterial large subunit ribosomal RNA
Source: RNAcentral
UGAGUGCGAGCUGCUACGGCAGCGAAGUGGGUGACGUCAAGCUUCCAAGAAAAGCCCUAGACCCGUUAAGGCAUGAUUUCCUGUACCCGAAACCGACACAGGUGGGGUGGUAGAGAAUACCGAGGGGCGCGAGGUAACUCUCUCUAAGGAACUCGGCAAAAUGGCCCCGUAACUUCGGGAGAAGGGGUGCCAGCGAGAGCUGGUCGCAGUGAAGAGGCCCAGGCGACUGUUUACCAAAAACACAGGUCUCCGCUAAGUCGCAAGACGAUGUAUGGGGGCUGACGCCUGCCCAGUGCCGGAAGGUUAAGGAAGCUGGUCAGCGCAAGCGAAGCUGGCGACUGAAGCCCCGGUGAACGGCGGCCGUAACAAUAACGGUCCUAAGGUAGCGAAAUUCCUUGUCGGGUAAGUUCCGACCCGCACGAAAGGCGUAACGAUCUGGGCGCUGUCUCGGAGAGAGGCUCGGCGAAAUAGAAUUGUCUGUGAAGAUGCGGACUACGUGCACCCGGACAGAAAGACCCUAUGAAGUUUUACUGUAGCUUGGUAUUGUGCUCGGGCUCGGAAUGCGCAGGAUAGGUGGGAGGCAUUGAUCCAUUGCUUGCGGGUGAUGGUGAGCCACUGGUGAGAUACCACUCUUUUCGAGCUUAAGUUCUAACGGCCACCCGUUAUCCGGGGGCCGGACAGUAUCAGGUGGGCAGUUUGACCGGGGCGGUCGCCUCCUAAAGUAACGGAGGCGCGCAAAGGUCUGCUCAGGCUGGUUGGAAAUCAGCCGACGAGUGUAAAAGCAGAAGCAGGCUUGACUGUGAGACCUACAAGUCGAACAGGGAGGAAACUCGGCUUUAGUGAUCCGACGGUUCUGCGUGGAAGGGCCGUCGCUCAACGGAUAAAAGUUACUCUAGGAUAACAGGCUGAUCUCCCCCAAGAGUUCACAUCGACGGGGAGGUUUGGCACCUCGAUGUCGGCUCAUCGCAACCUGGGGCUGAAGUCGGUCCCAAGGGUUGGGCUGUUCGCCCAUUAAAGCGGUACGCGAGCUGGGUUCAGAACGUCGUGAGACAGUUCGGUCCAUAUCCGGUGCACGCGCAGGAAUAUUGAGAGGAUUUCUCCCUAGUACGAGAGGACCGGGAGGAACGCACCUCUGGUGUGCCAGUUAUCGUGCCAACGGUAAACGCUGGGUAGCCAUGUGCGGAGAGGAUAACCGCUGAAAGCAUCUAAGUGGGAAGCCCACCUCAAGAUGAGUAUUCCCAUGGCGUUAAGCCAGUAAGGUCACGGGAAGAACACCCGUUGAUAGGCUCUAUGUGGAAGCGCAGUAAUGCGUGAAGCAGAGGAGUACUAAUAGACCGAGGGCUUGAC